This 253-nucleotide ribosomal RNA is filed under the name uncultured bacterium. RNAcentral describes it as "partial 16S ribosomal RNA". It matches the Rfam family "Bacterial small subunit ribosomal RNA", at positions 524 to 776 of the family's 1533-position model. The record is from RNAcentral.
CACGAAGGGGGCUAGCGUUGCUCGGAAUCAUUGGGCGUAAAGGGUGCGUAGGCGGCGGGGAAAGUCUGAUGUGAAAUCCUGGGGCUCAACCCUGGAACUGCAUUGGAUACUUCCUUGCUAGAGUACUGGAGAGGAAACUGGAAUUUACGGUGUAGCAGUGAAAUGCGUAGAGAUCGUAAGGAAGACCAGUGGCGAAGGCGAGUUUCUGGACAGUUACUGACGCUGAGGCACGAAGGCCAGGGGAGCAAACGGG